GGGUGCUUGAGACUAUGUUUCUCAGGUAUUCAGCGGGAGACAGACAGAGAAAAGCCCCACCUGAUAGUAAUCAAAGUGCACUGCGCCCAUUUAGUUGGACUCUCAAAUUGGAGAGUUCCAUG
This 122-nucleotide antisense RNA is filed under the name Klebsiella pneumoniae subsp. pneumoniae Ecl8. It matches the Rfam family "sok antitoxin (CssrC)". From Rfam's summary of the family: Also identified in Shigella as CssrC. Lineage: Bacteria; Pseudomonadati; Pseudomonadota; Gammaproteobacteria; Enterobacterales; Enterobacteriaceae. The record is from RNAcentral.